RNAcentral lists this ribosomal RNA (741 nucleotides) under Microbacterium sp. Its description in RNAcentral is "bacterial SSU rRNA". It matches the Rfam family "Bacterial small subunit ribosomal RNA", at positions 120 to 873 of the family's 1533-position model. Lineage: Bacteria; Bacillati; Actinomycetota; Actinomycetes; Micrococcales; Microbacteriaceae. The record is from RNAcentral.
AGCAACCUGCCCUGGACUCUGGGAUAAGCGCUGGAAACGGCGUCUAAUACUGGAUAUGAGACGUGAUCGCAUGGUCGUGUUUGGAAAGAUUUUUCGGUCUGGGAUGGGCUCGCGGCCUAUCAGCUUGUUGGUGAGGUAAUGGCUCACCAAGGCGUCGACGGGUAGCCGGCCUGAGAGGGUGACCGGCCACACUGGGACUGAGACACGGCCCAGACUCCUACGGGAGGCAGCAGUGGGGAAUAUUGCACAAUGGGCGGAAGCCUGAUGCAGCAACGCCGCGUGAGGGAUGACGGCCUUCGGGUUGUAAACCUCUUUUAGCAGGGAAGAAGCGAAAGUGACGGUACCUGCAGAAAAAGCGCCGGCUAACUACGUGCCAGCAGCCGCGGUAAUACGUAGGGCGCAAGCGUUAUCCGGAAUUAUUGGGCGUAAAGAGCUCGUAGGCGGUUUGUCGCGUCUGCUGUGAAAUCCCGAGGCUCAACCUCGGGCCUGCAGUGGGUACGGGCAGACUAGAGUGCGGUAGGGGAGAUUGGAAUUCCUGGUGUAGCGGUGGAAUGCGCAGAUAUCAGGAGGAACACCGAUGGCGAAGGCAGAUCUCUGGGCCGUAACUGACGCUGAGGAGCGAAAGGGUGGGGAGCAAACAGGCUUAGAUACCCUGGUAGUCCACCCCGUAAACGUUGGGAACUAGUUGUGGGGACCAUUCCACGGUUUCCGUGACGCAGCUAACGCAUUAAGUUCCCCGCC